Podarcis lilfordi (Lilford's wall lizard) is the source of this 74-nucleotide non-coding RNA. The record is from the annotation of a GenBank genome assembly. Lineage: Eukaryota; Metazoa; Chordata; Lepidosauria; Squamata; Lacertidae.
UGGGAUAGCUCAGUUGGUAGAUAGCGAGACUCUUAAUCUCAGGUUUAUGGGUUCAAGCCCUACAUUGGGCAAAA